GCGCGGCGGCGCGGUGGCGCGGCGGCGUAGCGAGGCAGUGGGGUCCUGGCGGGUCAGAGACCCUCGCUGGGAAGCACCGAGGUGCGAGAGUCGCCCGGCGUGCUUGGCUGCGGCGGGACCGAAGUGGACGUUUCUGUGCCCUCUUGGGCCCACAGCUCUGUCGGGGAGACAGUGAACAGGCCCGGAGAAAUGAGCCAACACCGUUCCAGAGAGCAGUAGGAGCUGAGAAGGGAAAUAAAAAAGGGUAAUGGUCCAAAACCUGCCUGGACAUGGGCAGCUCCGGAGGGCACCCAUAAGGAAACGAUCUUUGAGCUGAGACCUGGACCAUGGCUGGGAGACGGGCCCGAGAAGAUGCGCAGGAAGGGUGUUCCAGAACAGCGAGUGCAAACGCUCUGCCUCAGGGCUUGACUGGAGCCAGAAGUUGGGUGAGAGAGAGGAGUUGAUUGAUCCACAGUUGAAACACUGAAAUGAGGAACAGGUCCCACAGGGAAAUGGAGCCAGAAUUCCAGCCCAGUCCUGUGUGACCCACAGCUCCAUGGUCUUCCUACUACACUGCCUCUCAACACAAAACCUCCGGCCCCCAGGAAUUUAUCUUUUGGAUUCAGCAGAAGUCAAGAGCUCUUUGGAGAAGGCUGUAGGGCAGCAUUAUUUAUGACAGUGAAAGAGUGGAAAGCACCAAAGCCCAACUGCAGAAGAAUAGCUGAGCAAAUCAUGGCCCAUUUCACAAGGAAUCUCUUGCAGUAGUUGAAAAUGCUAAUUAUAAAGAUGGAAACAUGGGGAAAGGCCAAUGAAAAUGAGUUAACUAAAAAAAAGCCCCAUACAAAAUGGUCUGUAUGCCAUGAUUACAAUCGUGUCAAAGUAUGACCAUGUGUAGGGACUAAGAGAAUGGAGAGAUGAAAAUACUUGUGUGUUUGGUUGGUGGGGCUGUCUUUGCCAUUUUCCCAAAUUAUACUCUAUAUUUGUUGUGAAUUUGUAAUUUUGAAGAGUCUAUGUGCCUAAAUCCACCCCCUCAACUCCCCCACCCCCAAAAGUCUAGUUUGGUUCCUCCUGCCUCUGUAACCCUUGGUGAGGCAUCACAUACCUGCUUCAUGGAGUUGUCACCAGGAUAACAUGUUCUACCUUCUCAUAGCGCCCUGUACCUUUCCUUCAUGGCACUUGAGGCAGAUUAAGUAGUGACAUCAGAGCUUAUGCUUUACCUAUUCUAUCCCAAACCACCCCAUUGAAACGUUGUAAUUCCUUUUUUCAGAGAUUUUCACCUGGUCCUCAAAGACCAAGAAUUAAGAGCCUAAAGUCUACAGCUCUUGUCAGCCUUGAAAAACUAAACUCAUUGAGGAGAUGUUGGGGGGUUGGGGAGGAAGAGGGCCUGUGAGAAGCUAGGAGCAGUAUUCCAUAUACCGUUCCUGCAACAGCUGUAGAACAGGAAAAGAGUGUGUGCCUGCUCUCAGACUACAAUUCAAGCGGAUUAAUAAAAAUCAUUACAGCAAU
Non-coding RNA from Callorhinus ursinus (northern fur seal), 1485 nucleotides. The record is from RefSeq and is a predicted model, not a curated record. NCBI's taxonomy places the organism in Eukaryota, Metazoa, Chordata, Mammalia, Carnivora, Otariidae.